Molecule: ribosomal RNA, 425 nt
Filed under: uncultured bacterium
Lineage: Bacteria
Description: partial 16S ribosomal RNA
Rfam family: Bacterial small subunit ribosomal RNA
Source: RNAcentral
GUGGGGAAUAUUGGACAAUGGGCGCAAGCCUGAUCCAGCCAUGCCGCGUGAGUGAUGAAGGCCUUAGGGUUGUAAAGCUCUUUCACCGAUGAAGAUAAUGACGGUAGUCGGAGAAGAAGCCCCGGCUAACUUCGUGCCAGCAGCCGCGGUAAUACGAAGGGGGCUAGCGUUGUUCGGAUUUACUGGGCGUACAGCGCACGUAGGCGGGUUGUUAAGUCAGGGGUGAAAUCCCGGAGCUCAACUCCGGAACUGCCUUUGAUACUGGCAAGCUAGAGUCCGGAAGAGGUAAGUGGAACUCCUAGUGUAGAGGUGGAAUUCGUAGAUAUUAGGAAGAACACCAGUGGCGAAGGCGGCUUACUGGUCCGGAACGGACGCUGAGGUGCGAAAGCGUGGGGAGCAAACAGGAUUAGAAACCCUAGUAGUCC